RNAcentral lists this ribosomal RNA (301 nucleotides) under uncultured bacterium. RNAcentral describes it as "partial 16S ribosomal RNA". It matches the Rfam family "Bacterial small subunit ribosomal RNA", at positions 509 to 807 of the family's 1533-position model. The record is from RNAcentral.
CAGUAGCCGCGGUAAUACAGAGGGUGCGAGCGUUAAUCGGAUUUACUGGGCGUAAAGCGUGCGUAGGCGGCUUCUUAAGUCGGAUGUGAAAUCCCUGAGCUUAACUUAGGAAUUGCAUUCGAUACUGGGAAGCUAGAGUAUGGGAGAGGAUGGUAGAAUUCCAGGUGUAGCGGUGAAAUGCUUAGAGAUCUGGAGGAAUACCGAUGGCGAAGGCAGCCAUCUGGCCUAAUACUGACGCUGAGGUACGAAAGCAUGGGGAGCAAACAGGAUUAGAUACCCGUGUAGUCCCUGUCUCUUAUAC